Molecule: long non-coding RNA, 7028 nt
Organism: Felis catus (domestic cat)
Lineage: Eukaryota; Metazoa; Chordata; Mammalia; Carnivora; Felidae
Exons: 3
Source: RefSeq, a predicted model, not a curated record
AUCUCAAAAAUAAAUAAACAUUAAAAUAAAUAAAUAAUCAAAAUUGGCAACAGGUUGGAAACUACAUUUAUUGCAACUUAUGGCAAAGCAUUUUAGAUGUCAGAGCAAAUAUGUAUAAGGAUGUAUGUUUGUGUUCAAAAUUAUUUUAAUGGGUAUGCAAGCCAAAUACUUAAAGAACAUUGGGUUAAAAAUAUGGGACACGAGGCUGAACAUAUUCAAUCAGUGCUUCUAAAUCAAAUACUUAAAAUCUGAGCUGUUUAGAUUCAUAGCAAUUGCUGAGCUACUAGUGGUUCUAGUCCUAUAAGUUUCCAUCAUUUAUGUCAUGAUAAAAUAUAGGGAAGGAGACAAAGAAAAAAAACAACACAAAAUGAUAGCUAUUUAUAAGCUACUGAGCAUUGACAGGAGAGUUGAUAAAUUAUGAUUUAUUUUUUUGUCAACAUUUGGAUGUGGAGGACAGACCUCUGCCUAGAAGGACCCAGUCAAAGACUUGAAGCUGAUGAGCACAAGUUGACAUAGAGGUGGUUUUCUUAUCUGAAGGUGGAGAACACCAUGAACAGUUUCUCUUUAUUAGCUAUCCUUUGAUCUGGCUCUUAUAGCAUAAUAAAAUAACUGUAGGAUGUUUUCAAACUUAAAAGGCUUCCACUUGACCUUUGGUAGCCAUAUUGAUCUUCUCAAUUAGAAGAGUAGGACAGUGUUAGUUUUCUAGGCCUGCUAUAACAAAUUAGCACAAAUUGGAUGGCUAAUUUGAUAGAAAUUUGUUUUUUCACACCUCUGGAGGCCAGAAGUCCACAAUCAAGCUGUUGCAGGGCCACCCUUCCUCUGAAGGCUCCAGGGGAGUUUCUGUUUCUUAGCUCUUUCGCUUUUUGGUGAUUCCAUAUAUCCCUUCCUUGUGGCCAUGUCACUCCAUUAUUUCUACCCAUGGUCACAUUGCUUUCUCUCCGUGUCUUCUCCUAUCUCAAAUCUUCUUCCUCCUAUAAGAAAACGUAUCACUGGAUUUAGGGCAUACCCACAUAAUCCAGGAUGAUCUCUUCAGCUCAGGGUCUUAAAUUCUAUCUAUUUAUGUUAUAUGAUAUGAUAUGAUAUUAAUUUAUUAUAUUUACAAAAACUUUUUCCCCUCACCCCAAAUAAGGUAACAUUCUCAGGUCCAGAAAUUAGGACAUGAAUAUAUUUUUGGGGAGGCCAACAUUAAAUCUACUGCAAGCAGCAAAGGUAGGUGUCACUUUAUGCACCUAUGAUAGGUGGCCAUGUCUGGAGGUGAGGUUGGACAACAGAAUCAGAAAGUGGAGUGGAACAGCUUUUAAAAUGGUAGCUACAGAUAGCUUAGAAAAGCCCUUUCAAUAACUCUCUUUUCCCCCCUUCCCAUUAUUCACUCCACCAGAAUACUUGGAAAGCUGAGAACAUUUUAAUGGCAAAAAUAGUAAUAGAAGCCUAGAGUUUAGGUAGUGGUAGGAGAAUUAAAUGAGCUAAGCUUUGGAAAAUUCUGGAUAUGGACCCUUUUGGGGAUAGGUUUUUCUAAAAAUAAGGGAGGAGAAGAACCACUUAUGCUUGAGAACUCUGAGCAAACCUUACCUAUUGGCAUUGUGGGUUGGCAUUGUUAGUGAUCCUCAUGACCUGUUGGGUUUUUUUGUUUGUUUUCACUAUUAGUGUAGUAAAUAAAAAGGGACAAUUUUUCUUAUAGGCCUAAGAGUGGUUUAGCGACUGCACUUUAGCUCAGGGUGGGUGAUUCUCAGAUUUUAGCAGGCAUUAGAUUCACCUGCAGGCCUUGUUAAACUGCUGUAUUGCUAGACUCCACUCCCGAUUUCUGACUCAGCACUUCUAGAGUAGGACGAGGAAUGCAUUUUUAACAGGUUUCUAGGUAGCUCUGCUUCUGCUGGUCCAGGGCCCACGUUUUGAAAACAACUGGUCUAGGCUUUAGGCCUAUUUUGGGCUUCUGCAAGGAAUCCUGGUUGGGUCCAUACAACUGUUUUCACUGGUGACUGGUUUCAACUUUACAGUUUACAUCUCCUAAAACUAGAUCAGUGCUUUUAAAAAUUUAAUGAGUAAAUCGAUCACCUGAAAAUCUUAUUAAAACCCAGAAUCCUGCCUGUGUGCCCUGAGCUUCUGAUUUACUGUGUCUGAGGUGGGCCUGUGUUGGUGGAGGUCAUCGAGAGGAUAUGACCGCUGGUUGACCCCAGAGCUGGCCCAGGCAAUCAGAAGAACCUCACCCCUCCCCUGUCCUUGGAUUGUACUUUCCUCCCACUGUUCGUAUAGCUGAAGCCAUUUCAAGAUGCAUCCUUGAGAGAGCAAUGUGUUACUGAGAUUAUCUGGAUGGUAUAUGUGAGUGAGCCCAAUUAAGGCCUCUAAGUAAACUCUCAAGAUUGUGGCCGGCGGUUUGGAGAUCUGUUUGCCUCUGGCCGGCGCCAGGGACAAGCCUCUUUUGUAAGUUCCUGUGCUCAUUAAAACCGCCAGCUACUAAGCUGGAGGGGCCGGCCUCUUUCUUCUACCUCUCCUUGCCCGCCGUGUACAGGAACUGGCUUCACAUUUCACCUGAGAAAUUCUGGAAUUUCUGACCAACAGCCUGUGGUUCUGCUUUUCUAAUAAACUUCCAGAUGAUACCAAUGCUAUUGGUUUGAAGACCACACUUUCACUGGCAAGGAAAUAGAGGACGUUUAUCUGCCUGACCUUGUUCGUUGUGCUCAGCUCUUACUGGAGCCUGGAACAGAGGACAUCUGAGACUGUGACGUCUCUUUCAGAGGAAACUUUGCUAGCUGAGCCAUGAAUCCAUUCGUGGCGGCUCUUCCUGUAAUUUUCGAUGAGGAACCAUAUCCUAGUGGUGUCACUGAGCCAGGAGAUGGAAAUCCAGUGGGGAUCAGUUCCCCAAGGAAUUUAAAUCUAAAAUUUUGGACAUUUAAAAAUACUACCAAUCAUAGGUAGCAAUAAAUGUUCAGUAAGGUUUACUUUGGCAAAAGUAAUGCUAAACACGUGUAGAAAGUAUGAAUUUCACAGAUUAAAAAAAAACUGUAGAAAUAACUUCUCAAGCCUAUAAUUAUGCCAAUGACAAACUUAAUCUUGUCAAUUCAGAGUAAAAAAUCUAUCAUUUCUGUCUCAUAGCAAUCUCUUUGAGAAAAAAAAAUCUAUGAACUAGAGAGUUUCCUUUUUCUACCUUAUUCCUUUCUCUCCUGGAAUGAGAUAUGUUACAAGGCGGUAGGUUAGAUAAGAGUUAUACCUGUGAUAUAAUCUUUCCCAAGUUGGCUUCAUCUGUGAUGUAAGAAUAACAACAACAAUAACAAUUAAAAUAAUAAAAAUUAUAAUAUUAACUGUUUAUUGAUCAUCUAUUAUGUUUCAAUUGCUAUUAUAAGUUAUGGGUAUUUUUAUUUUCGCUUUAAUGCGGUGAGGUGGAUACUGUGAAUUCCCCAUUUUACUGAAGAAGAAUCCCCACUGAUCAUCAGCCUCUACUUAGAUUGCUUGUCCAUGGAAUGUCCAUGUCUCUCUCAGCUUCCAGGCAACAGGUCCAUACAUGUCUUUCUUUGUCUUUUACAUUUUAGCCCUAAAGACUUUCCACGCUGUUGACCAGCUCUCAGAUACUUCUGCAUCAUCUAAAAGCAUAGGGAAUUUUGGGUGUUAUGCCCACAUCACACUGACCUAUAUGAGACUCUUUGAGGGCAGCUAGCCGUCAUGCUGUGUAAUUGUUUCUCUCCCUGAAGGCACUAUGCCAGCAUCAGGAUAUAUGACUUUCCUUAAUGACAAUUUCUAAUUUUAAUGAGGAGCUUAAUACCUCCUUGUUUCCACAGUGAUGACUCUAACGUUUGAAAUCUAUGCAAAUAAGGGAUUAGUGACUCGAAGAUGGACAUAACCCAAAUAGACCAUCCUCCUCUCUGCCUAACCCUGAUCUGAAUGGAUGUUCUUUGGGAACAUAAGGACUGCACAUUUCUAGGUCAGGACCCAUUUUCCUUUAUUUCUAAAGGCACAGGACUGGAAUGUCCUCAGGAAGGCUCUGCUCUGUCUUUUCUCAGAGUAAUUCUACUUCCUGAAGGAGAAGGAGAAGACAGCGCGGUCAUCAAAGAAUGAUUUGAAUUGGCAAUACAGGGAAGAAAAUAUAAUUCAUUGGAUUAAAAUUUCAGUAAAAAUGUGAAUUAGGAAUGGGUUUUAUAAAGGAGAGACUGUCAGUUACACUAAGAAACUAAUAAGCUGAUUUCCAUCCACUGGGACAAAGGAGAAAGAAAGUAAAAUGAAUCACCAUUUUCCACUAUAACAAUGACAGUUGGAAGACUGUUAUGACUCUUCCGAUGAUAAUAAUUUCCAUUUCGAUAGGCUCUUUUUCCAAGACAUCUAAAGUAUUUUACAAGUGAUUUUUACUAUCCAUCCUCAUGUCUCAAAAAGGAAAGAUACAAAUACUUGCAUCCUCAUUUCAUAGGCAGCAAAUGCAUCUGAAGGAUUCUGAAUAUACUGUGCUUAUUCCAAAGAAAUUUUUAAUAAGGUAUGCUGUGAAAACUGAAGCAUUCAGUCAUAUCUGAGAAUAAAAAAAGGCAGAAAUAUAAUAUUUGGACACAAAAUCCCCUACAGGUUCUUAUUAUUUUCUUAUAAUCCAUAUUUUGAAAAGAAGAAAAUCAAAGGGUAAAAUAUUUUCUGUGUGUAUUGUAGCUUUUGAUUAAUACCAGUUUUAGUCCUUUAACAUUUAGACUAUAUAUUUCUCUGAUUCAGAUGUUGUCCUUUAUUCCCUCAUAUCAUGAUAUUUGUUAUCUUCUUAUUUAAGCCAGCAUCUAGGACGAGAUGAUCAUGUAUGAGAUGCUUUGUAAUGUUACAUUUACUUAGUGAGUAUGCAUAAUCUCAGGGUGUGGAAUAAAGAUCCAUAGAAUCAUUCAACACAAGAAAGGAACUAAAAAAUAUACCCACUAAAAAAAAGGAAACUAUCCUGUAAAUGGUGACAAUUUCCCUGAUUCUUCCUCUUUCUUCUAAUUUAGAAUAUAAUUGUACAGUGGUCUUGUCUUUAUCUUCCAGUUUUUCACUCAUUAAAACAGAAGGGUUUCUGGUAAUUAUGUAUAGCAGGCAGAAUAAUGGCUAUCCAAAGAUGUCCAUAUCCUAACCUCUGUAACUUCUGAAAAUGUUAUGUUACUGGGGAAAGGGGGAAAUAAGGUUGCAGAUGAAACGAGGGUUGCUAGUCAGCUGACCUUCAAAUAGGGAGAAUGUUCUGGGUUAUUGGAUGGGUCCAAUAUAAUCAAAAGGGCUCUUUUAAUACAGAAGAGAAGGCAGAAGAGUCUGUAUCAGCCUAAUGUGAUGUGUAAAAGACUCGGCUGGCCAUUGUUAUCUCUGGCUUGCCCUGAACCAAGAAAUGUGGGCAGCCUCAAGUAGCUGAAAAAGACACAAAAAUGGAUUUCUCCCUAGGGCCUCAGAAAGUAAUGCAGCCCUGCCGACACCUUAAUUUUAGCCCUGUGAGACCCAUUUCAGAUUUCUGCCCUCCAGAAGCAUAAGAGUAUGCUUUUCUGUUGUUUUAGGCAACUAAAUUUGUGGCACUAUGCUACAGACACAAUAUAAAACUCCUAUAGUAUGCAUUACACAGUCAGUCAACAAUUGAAUUAAUGAAUGAACCAACUAGAGUGAAUCAAAUCCUUUCAUUUACUUAUAGUCAAAAAUCUGAAAAUGAGCUGGGAGAACUCGAGUUCAUGAACUACUUUCAAAAGAUAGAAUUAAAAAUCAUGACACUAGCAAUGCCUGUGCACAUCAUUUUAAUCCGAGUUUCAUGCUUUCUGUCUGUGGGGAAGAGCAUGGUGUUCGUAAAGGAAUAAGUAGUUGUCCAUAAGAUAUCCUGAAGGAAAUGUUGAAAGUGCUCUAGUUUUACAAUAGUAGUUAUGCUAACAUAGUGCUUACUCUGUGCGUUGUUCUAUAUAUACAUACGUAUAUAUGUAUAUCUAUGUAUGUAUACGUAUGUAUAUAUAUAUAUGAGCUAGUUUAAUCCUCACAAAAAUCCUCUGAGAUAGUUUUGUUAUCUCCAUUUUAUGGAUGGGUAGGAGGAAUAGAGAGAGGUAAAGUAGAUUGUUCAUGGUCACACAGCUAGGAAGUAGCCAAAUCAGGACUUGAAGUCUUAAUCAUUAAAAUAUACACAAUCCAAAAAAUUACUCUUUCACUUCCCAGUGCCACUUUUAAUACAUUUAAUAUAUUUUAUUGGUCUAUGUGAAAAGCAGCGCUAAGGUAUUCUGGAGUGAGAAAACAUAGAAGGAGGGCCAAGAGAAGGUAAGUGAUGUACUUUGCUGUGGUUCUUGUCUGAGGCACAUGAAAUACUGCAGUGACAAAUGAAACUAGAAGGAUAUUUUGGACCGGUGUUUGGAAGUUUCUGGACUCUAGCGUAAGAAAUAAAAUUUUAUUCAGCCAUCAGUAGAAAAUACUAGUUGUUUUUAGUUGUUGUGGUGGUGGUUGUAGUUUGGUUGGUGUUCUAGUGUUUUUGUUUUUGCUGUUUAAGCACAGAAAUGAAGCGUUCAGAGUUUUCAUGUUAGGAAGGUUAAAUGUAUAUUGGCUCAUGUCAAGGGUGAUGACAGUAGCGGCAAUGAGGCACGGAGUCCAGCAAGAAGAUCACUGUAGUCUCACAAAUGAAGGGUACUGGGGAUCUGAGGAAGUGGACUGACUGCUGGAAUGGAACAGAUGGAAGAAAUGGAAGAAUAUUAGAUAGAUGGAAUUGGCUGUGAGUCUCUCAGAAGGUGGGAGGAACAAGCUUGGAUGGCUUUGAGCAUUUGGGACUGCAGGACAGACUCGUAUUUAGUUUGCAUUUGAAAUAGAGGAUAAUGAAUUUGAUUUGAGGAAAUACCACUGAGACUGAAGGAAUUAUAUGCAUCUGAGGUAUUUAGCCCAGGGAGUAAUAAGUGCCUACCUUGUGCUUGGCUUUCAGAUAUUUUGCAAACUCCUUCCCUAAGACCUCCAUUUUGAAGCUACUAAUCUAAAUUUCACUGAUCACAGUGAUAAUUGUAUCACAUUAAAAAAUCCCAGUGGGGCGCCUGGGUGGCGCAGUCGGUUAAGCGUCCGACUUCAGCCAGGUCACGAUCUCGCGGUCCGUGAGUUCG